This 253-nucleotide ribosomal RNA is filed under the name uncultured bacterium. RNAcentral's name for it is "partial 16S ribosomal RNA". It matches the Rfam family "Bacterial small subunit ribosomal RNA", at positions 524 to 776 of the family's 1533-position model. The record is from RNAcentral.
UACGUAGGGACCAAGCGUUGUUCGGAUUUACUGGGCGUAAAGGGCGCGUAGGCGGCAAUUCAAGUCAGCUGUGAAAUCUCCGGGCUUAACUCGGAACGGUCAGCUGAUACUGCUUUGCUAGAGUGCAGAAGGGGCAAUCGGAAUUCUUGGUGUAGCGGUGAAAUGCGUUGAUAUCAUUAGGAACUCCGGUGGCGAAGGCGGCACGCUGGACCUCUUCUGACGCUGAGGCGCGAAAGCCAGGGGAGCAAACGGG